ACAGACGGACAGAUAGACUGACAGACAGACAACAAAGUGAUACUAUAAGGGUUCCUUUUUCUUUGUGAGGUACGGAACCCUAAAAAAAGAAUUUUCAGUUAUCUUUCCGGACAUGAACUGAGUCACAAUAAAAUUUGUAUGAACCCUCUCGAAGAAAUAAGUAUUUAGGUUUUUUUAUACAGUUUUUGAACCAAAUACUUAUGUGCUCCUGUUUAAGAAAUAAUUUUAGCAACUAGCAUGGAUACGGAAUCCUACCUUACUGUGUGUUUUGAAUUUUGACACGCAUUUGACUAGUUUUUAUUCCUUUACAGCUUGAAGGAAGCAGUCGUACCUAACUCCUGUAAAAUACGUAAUAUAAGUGACGCAUUUUGUAAAUAUAAUAAAUAAAUAAGUACAUUGGAGUGAAUUAUGUGCCAAAUAGAUAAGUACAUUUAUAUAAAAAUUGUUAAAUAAAUAUCUAUUGCUAGUAGAUUCUAAUAGACAAUUAUUAUAUGAAGAAUCUUUAGUUAAGUAUUGUAGGAUAAUAUUUUUUGCAUUUUGAUAAAAUACUUACUUCUGUAAUUUAUUUUAACGUCAGCGCUGCAUUGUAAUUUGUAUUGUUUUGAUUGGUUGGUGACUCAAAAUGGUAAACACCGAUUUAUGUUACAGAGGGAGCGAUACUAGCGAGAGCUACUAUUUAAAGAAGUUAGUAUAGUAACUUCUUUCCCUGAGUAAGGUAUAAUUAUUGUCUGAACACAGCCUGUAAUAUGCGAUCACCUUUAUCUACUACGAUCAGUGCGCUUUUUUAUAACCGUAAGGAAACCAAAGACAAUUCGAAUAAAUAGUAGAAGUUAAACUUGCAAUAUUUUUCAUAGAUACGAAAUAAUUAUUAAAAUGUCAAAUGAGACGAUUUACAACUGCAGGGUAACUCUACAGUGGAAAUGUAUUUAAUUAUGCUUUUAGGUUCAAGCUAAUAAAUUUAGGAAAACGCAUGACAACUUGUAAACUAAGUUUUUAAAAGCAAUACGAUAGAAUAAGUAUAAAAGAUGUUUUUGAAAAUAAAAAUUACUAUGUGCUUAUUUACAUUUUUUAUUUACAUUUCUAUGAUAAUAUACCUACAUAAAAAAAUUUACUUUACAAAAUUUUAAUAUCUGUCUAUCUACUCACUACCUACCUUAAUUUAAAAUUGUGUUUAUCCGACUGCGCACAAUCUAUAAACAAGGUAACAUCUGAAUAGUAAAGUAGUAAUAAAGCCAAGAAAAAAAAUUGAUAAAGUAGUCAUCAAUGUUCACAAGAUUAUUUUUUUAAAAUUCCAAAUAAACAUUUGAAAAUGGCUAAGCAUAUUUUUAAAUUCGUCAUAAAGGCCUACGCUGAGAACAACUAUUGACUACACACUAUUGUCCGCGGAGGCCUCAUACGAUGGAAGUCUGAAUGUAUAAUGUGAUCCAUUUUG
Molecule: long non-coding RNA, 1432 nt
Organism: Maniola jurtina (meadow brown)
Lineage: Eukaryota; Metazoa; Arthropoda; Insecta; Lepidoptera; Nymphalidae
Exons: 2
Source: RefSeq, a predicted model, not a curated record